CUUAACUUCAUCGAUACCGUGGUAAUUAUUCUACCCACUCUAUCUUCUAUGUUCUCUUUGAUUUUUCAUCGGUACAAAUUAGUUUUCUCUCUAAAUAUUUUCCUAAUCUUGUUUUGGCAGUGUUCAAAAUUUUCAGUAAGUAGCUUGUGCCAUAGGCAUACAAAGCGAGAGGUUGUAUCUGCUAGCUCAAGCUAACAUAUUUCGCCAAAGUAGAUAACAUCAAUUUUCCGAGUUGGGAUUUCAAAUACUGCUUUUCAAAUCUCAAGAAUGUUAAAAUUAUCGGCUGCCUUUAUGACAUGGUUGGAGGCGUGGUCUGAAGCAGAGUUUUGUAAGCUUUUCGAACCUUUGAGGUUUAUAUUAAAGAAUACAGUGGUUUUGCAAAAGUUUGUUAUCAUAACAAUUAAACAAGUGUGAGUUCCGGCAUUCAUAACGAUUGACUAAGAAAUUGUUAGAUAGUCAAAAAUCAUCAACAAAUUUCGUGAUUGUUUAUCAAGAGAUUGCUUAGCCAACCAUUAUAAAUAAUCACGAAAUUUGUCCUAGUGUUUCUGGCCGCUGCAACAAAUACAUAUUUAUUAACAAAAUAUAAGGUGUAUCUAGCGAUUCAGAGUUGUUUUUUGUAGUAGUGUUCUUAUUAGGAUCAUUGUGUAUGAACUACAACUGAAUUAGAGUUGAGUUUUGAUAAGAAAAGUUGGAAGCUGUGGGCAUGCUAAUUGAAAAACCGCAAGUAUCGACUAUCGUGAAACAAGCACUUGAUAGUUGAUCCUGAUCUUGUGGGGUUGGUCUUAAAUAUCUCAGGGUACUUAGGCUAUAAU
This 812-nucleotide long non-coding RNA is filed under the name Solanum lycopersicum (tomato). Its description in RNAcentral is "partial TCONS_00071351". Lineage: Eukaryota; Viridiplantae; Streptophyta; Magnoliopsida; Solanales; Solanaceae. The record is from RNAcentral.